CUUGCAUAUAAGUGAUGAUUGGUCGAAAACCAUUUUGGUCCGCGACAUAUUCAACUGUUUGACGUCGACCAUCUGGUAAAAGAACGUAGUAAACACCACGUGCCACAUCGCCAUCACGACUUUCUUUAUGUCCAAAGUCAUUUUCACUUUCAAUGUCAUUCACCAUGUACUCAAAUUCGUACUUGGCAGGAGUCUAAAAUCCAUCAAAAAUACUCCAGAGCCAGAUGCUGGAUAUGUUGCUGUUCCUUCGUAACGGAUCAUUGGACGAUAACCCCCAGCAUCAGCAACAUAAUCGACAAUUUGUGUCCGACCGUCCGGAAGUAAAACAUGCCCAAUCAUCAGGAUGACCAGAUCCACCACCAGCUGGUCUGCCACUCGGAGGUAAAUAUGCAGGACCUUGCGGUUCACCCUGAAUCUGCACCAACAUCAUAACGAAAAGCAGUGCCUGUAGCAUCCACAAAUGUCGAUCAAUUUGAUUUAUCACCCAGCAUUAUUGGUUUCCAACUGAAUAUUUGACAGUUCCAAUACUUUAUUAAUAGUAAGAGAACUAAUGAAAAUAUUAAUCAAAUCUACGAAAGUUUGAUUAAAAAAUUUCCAUCU
This is a long non-coding RNA of Chelonus insularis, 600 nucleotides long. RefSeq lists it as uncharacterized. The transcript is spliced from 3 exons. The record is from RefSeq and is a predicted model, not a curated record. Lineage: Eukaryota; Metazoa; Arthropoda; Insecta; Hymenoptera; Braconidae.